GCCGGGUGUGGUGAUGCACGCCUGUAAUCCCAGCUACUCGGGAGGCUGAGGCAGGAGAAUCACUUGAACCCAGGAGGCAGAGGUUGCAGUGAGCCGAGAUCAUGCCACUGCACUCCAGCCUGGGUGACAGAGUGAGACUCCGUCUGAA
RNAcentral lists this non-coding RNA (148 nucleotides) under Pan troglodytes (chimpanzee). Lineage: Eukaryota; Metazoa; Chordata; Mammalia; Primates; Hominidae. The record is from Rfam by way of RNAcentral.